CUGCUCUACUGGAGUGUAUUUUUGUGAGCCUAGGAUAGGCUUUCACAGAUAUGAUCAAAAAUCAUUUAGGAAUUUCUCCCAGAUGAAAUCAACUUUCUUAGCAUUUAAGAAUGACACUGACGUUAGCAACUGGUUUCAGAUUUCUAUGUGGCAAGCAGAACACCCAGGCCCCUGGCUGGUAGCAAUUGUAGCCAUUCAGAUGGUAAACUAGACAAAGUCACACUGUCCCUUCUAGUCCAGAAGUUGGAUAACAUUCUCCCACAUUCAACAUAUAUUGUUCUUUGAUGUCACGCUGCUGAACUAGCUUGGACAUCAAUACAAAUAUACAACUUGCCACCCAGUUUUCUUGAGCAACCAGGUGUAUGGAUGACAAAGAUGCAAAUUAUGGAUGAAAUUUCAUUCCUAACAUCAUACUCCCCAGCUUUAUGUCAUCUUGAGACACAAACAACCUUGUAAAUUUUCAGAAUUGAUUCUAAAGGUAUUUGUCAAAUUAUAGCUAUUUUUGAACUUCCAAGUAUGACUACAUAAUUUCAUAAUUGAGAUCUGGUGACGAUGACAAAUUACACAAGCUUUACUUGUGAAGCCAAUAGAGUCAUAUGCACACUGACAGAAGUUUGCUGCUUUCCAGUGUAUAUUUCCGGUUUAAAAUAUAUGUUAUCAUAACAGAUAGAGGAAACAUUUUAAAGAAGGGAGUCUGGUUUCCUUUCGUAGCUUCUUACAGCAUGCAUUCUAUAGGCAAAUGGUACAGGAGAAUAGAAAUGCAUUGCAAAGGUUAUGUUUAUAUACACCAUUUCUUCUACGCAACUAAGUGCAUUUCAGUGGUUUUAGUGCAUUACCAAAUGCAAAAAAAUGCAAUACCUUAUUUUUAAGCUCACUUUGUAUAUUAAAUUAAAUUGAGUACAUAAACCCAACAACACGUUGUACUUUUCAGAAACUAUUGAAACAUUCAAUGUUUUGUCCCUUUUUCCUUCAAUAAUCAUUAUAUUAUUGCAUAUUAAAAGCAUGGUACAAAUGAAGAAUGAUGACAAAGGCUGAAGAUUUUAAUUUAUUCAGUAUUUCAUAGGAAAUAACAGACUUCACACUUCUGAACUAAGCAGAAAUGACAAUGCAUGCUGAUGGGUACCUUUAAACUUUUGAAGUAUUCUACACUUUUGUAAGCUGAUUUAAAAAUUAUUCAGUUGGGAAAAUUAAAAAUGUUUAUGCAAUAUUCCAUUAAAAUAAAUAAGGAGAAAAAGGUAUUUUUAUUUUUAUAUAAAUAUUCCUCAGCAUUUUUUCAAAUAUAGCCAUAUCUGAGCAAAUAUCACAAGCAAAUGACAACAAAAUACUGUGUGGUAAUAUUUGGGUUUUAAUUGUCAUGCCAGAGAACCUUUUCAAUGAUAACAGCCCAGAAUUUACGCUGAGAAAGUUUCAUGAAUUUAGAGUUGAAUAAAGUUUUAAAUCUAAAUGAUCCAGUAUCCUCGAAAAAAAAUCAUAUGUUUCAACAUCAGAUAGAUGAAUCUGGUCUGCAAAAUCAGAAGCACAUACUAAACUUGGGCAAUUUUGUAAAUUGCCAAAAAUAAGUAAAUCUUUCUGCACUGCUGUACAGUCAGAACAUGCUUGAACUUUUUUAGUUACUUAUUUUCUAGCUUUUGACAUUUGGAAAUUCAUAUAGAAGCAGGAAAGAAAAAGAAUUUUGUAGCAUAGCAACAUCAAUGUGAUAUAUUUCUAAUCAAAUAGAAUGCAUGACUAAAGAUCAAAAUAGUCUGGUUUUGAUUGGGUAGUAUUCAGUCACAAUUUGUAUUACAGUGUAAUAAAUUCAGAAGUUGAUUAUAUUUGGACAGACAUGUAGAUCAAGAUCUUGCAUACAGUUAUUAUUCUUAUAGAAUUAGUAAACAUUCUUAUAUUAGAAAAAUUAUAAAUCUCAACAGGGAAAUUCAACCUUUCCUUUAUUUUCAUCACAAGAAGAAAGUACUGAGAAUUUUGUGAUUAACUGCUUCAUUGUUGUCAGAAGAGAAAGAAUUAAAAAUUAAUGUUUGAAUGGAAAAAGAAUAAAUUUGUAAGGCAUUACAAUUCACCUGCAAAUUACAUGUAAAUGUUCCAACUUUGUUACUCGUCUUCACAGUCAUCAUACCAGAAAGAAGUAUAAAUUGUUACAGUUUGAUUUAAAAGUAAUGUAUGCAGGGUGAGGUGAGAGAGAGAACACUUCUUUUCUACCAAGAGCUGUUUGAAUCCAUGGAAAUAAAUUUAACUGUUCAACACAAGAUUCCCCAGUUAAUAUAUCUAUGUGCAAUAGACUCCUAGUUAAACGGAAGAAGUGGCUUCUGGACCUUAUUCCCAAUAAUUUAAAAGAUAUUUCUGUGUUUCAGAA
This is a non-coding RNA of Meleagris gallopavo (turkey), 2347 nucleotides long. NCBI's taxonomy places the organism in Eukaryota, Metazoa, Chordata, Aves, Galliformes, Phasianidae. The record is from RefSeq and is a predicted model, not a curated record.